GACCCCAUAGCUCAGCAGGAUAGAGCAACGGUUUCCUAAACCGUAGGCCGCUGGUUCGAAUCCAGCUGGGGUCACCA
This 77-nucleotide transfer RNA is filed under the name Alphaproteobacteria bacterium. Its description in RNAcentral is "tRNA-Arg". It matches the Rfam family "tRNA". Rfam says of the family: Transfer RNA (tRNA) molecules are approximately 80 nucleotides in length. Lineage: Bacteria; Pseudomonadati; Pseudomonadota; Alphaproteobacteria. The record is from RNAcentral.